This 565-nucleotide ribosomal RNA is filed under the name uncultured Glomus. RNAcentral describes it as "SSU rRNA". It matches the Rfam family "Eukaryotic small subunit ribosomal RNA", at positions 548 to 1114 of the family's 1831-position model. The record is from RNAcentral. Lineage: Eukaryota; Fungi; Glomeromycota; Glomeromycetes; Glomerales; Glomeraceae.
UUGGAGGGCAAGUCUGGUGCCAGCAGCCGCGGUAAUUCCAGCUCCAAUAGCGUAUAUUAAAGUUGUUGCAGUUAAAAAGCUCGUAGUUGAAUUUCGGGGUUAGUAGGUUGGUCAUGCCUCUGGUAUGUACUGGUCUCACUGAUUCCUCCUUCCUGAUGAGCCGUAAUGCCAUUAAUUUGGUGUUGCGGGGAAUUUGGACUGUUACUUUGAAAAAAUUAGAGUGUUUAAAGCAAGCUAACGCUUGAAUACAUUAGCAUGGAAUAAUGAAAUAGGACGUUCGAUCCUAUUUUGUUAGUUUCUAGGAUUGACGUAAUGAUUAAUAGGGAUAGUUGGGGGCAUUAGUAUUCAAUUGUCAGAGGUGAAAUUCUAGGAUUUAUUGAAGACUAACUACUGCGAAAGCAUUCGCCAAGGAUGUUUUCAUUAAUCAAGAACGAAAGUUAGGGGAUCGAAGACGAUCAGAUACCGUCGUAGUCUUAACCAUAAACUAUGCCGACUAGGGAUCGGAUGAUGUUAAUUUUUUAAUGACUCAUUCGGCGCCUUACGGGAAACCAAAGUGUUUGGGUUC